Molecule: ribosomal RNA, 441 nt
Filed under: uncultured bacterium
Lineage: Bacteria
Description: partial 16S ribosomal RNA
Rfam family: Bacterial small subunit ribosomal RNA
Source: RNAcentral
CCUACGGGUGGCAGCAGUGGGGGAUAUUGCACAAUGGGGGAAACCCUGAUGCAGCGACGCCGCGUGAGUGAAGAAGUAUUUCGGUAUGUAAAGCUCUAUCAGCAGGGAAGAAAAAAGACGGUACCUGACUAAGAAGCCCCGGCUAACUACGUGCCAGCAGCCGCGGUAAUACGUAGGGGGCAAGCGUUAUCCGGAUUUACUGGGGGUAAAGGGAGCGUAGACGGCAAUACAAGUCGGAAGUGAAAUACCCGGGCUCAACCUGGGAACUGCUUUGGAAACUGGAUGGCUGGAGUGCUGGAGAGGUAAGCGGAAUUCCUAGUGUAGCGGUGAAAUGCGUAGAUAUUAGGAGGAACACCAGUGGCGAAGGCGGCUUACUGGACAUUAACUGACGCUGAGGCACGAAGGCCAGGGGAGCGAAAGGGAUUAGAUACCCUUGUAGUC